AGCCUGAUGGAGCACACCGCGUGAGUGAAGAAGGGUUUCGGCUCGUAAAGCUCUGUUGUUGGAGAAGAACGUGCGUGAGAGUAACUGUUCACGCAGUGACGGUAUCCAACCAGAAAGUCACGGCUAACUACGUGCCAGCAGCCGCGGUAAUACGUAGGUGGCAAGCGUUAUCCGGAUUUAUUGGGCGUAAAGCGAGCGCAGGCGGUUGCUUAGGUCUGAUGUGAAAGCCUUCGGCUUAACCGAAGAAGUGCAUCGGAAACCGGGCGACUUGAGUGCAGAAGAGGACAGUGGAACUCCAUGUGUAGCGGUGGAAUGCGUAGAUAUAUGGAAGAACACCAGUGGCGAAGGCGGCUGUCUGGUCUGCAACUGACGCUGAGGCUCGAAAGCAUGGGUAGCGAACAGGAUUAGAUACCCUGGUAGUCCAUGCCGUAAACGAUGAGUGCUAGGUGUUGGAGGGUUUCCGCCCUUCAGUGCCGGAGCUAACGCAUUAAGCACUCCGCCUGGGGAGUACGACCGCAAGGGAUAACACUCAAAGGA
RNAcentral lists this ribosomal RNA (537 nucleotides) under Limosilactobacillus reuteri. RNAcentral describes it as "bacterial SSU rRNA". It matches the Rfam family "Bacterial small subunit ribosomal RNA", at positions 380 to 908 of the family's 1533-position model. Lineage: Bacteria; Bacillati; Bacillota; Bacilli; Lactobacillales; Lactobacillaceae. RNAcentral also lists the same sequence under 1 other name. The record is from RNAcentral.